This 370-nucleotide ribosomal RNA is filed under the name uncultured organism. RNAcentral's name for it is "bacterial SSU rRNA". It matches the Rfam family "Bacterial small subunit ribosomal RNA", at positions 526 to 896 of the family's 1533-position model. The record is from RNAcentral.
CGUAGGGUGCGAGCGUUAAUCGGAAUUACUGGGCGUAAAGCGUGCGCAGGCGGUUUGUUAAGAUAGGCGUGAAAUCCCCGGGCUCAACCUGGGAACUGCGCUUAUGACUGGCAAGCUAGAGUACGGCAGAGGGGGUGGAAUUCCACGUGUAGCAGUGAAAUGCGUAGAGAUGUGGAGGAACACCAAUGGCGAAGGCAGCCCCCUGGGUCGAUACUGACGCUCAUGCACGAAAGCGUGGGUAGCAAACAGGAUUAGAUACCCUGGUAGUCCACGCCUAAACGAUGUCAACUAGGUGUUGGGAGGGUAAACCUUUUAGUACCGGAGCUAACGCGUGAAGUUGACCGCCUGGGGAGUACGGCCGACAAGGUUA